GAUGAACGCUGGCGGCGUGCCUAAUACAUGCAAGUCGAGCGAACAGACGAGGAGCUUGCUCCUCUGACGUUAGCGGCGGACGGGUGAGUAACACGUGGAUAACCUACCUAUAAGACUGGGAUAACUUCGGGACACCGGAGCUAAUACCGGAUAAUAUAUUGAACCGCAUGGUUCAAUAGUGAAAGUCGGUUUUGCUGUCACUUAUAGAUGGAUCCGCGCCGCAUUAGCUAGUUGGUAAGGUAACGGCUUACCAAGGCAACGAUGCGUAGCCGACCUGAGAGGGUGAUCGGCCACACUGGAACUGAGACACGGUCCAGACUCCUACGGGAGGCAGCAGUAGGGAAUCUGCCGCAAUGGGCGAAAGCCUGACGGAGCAACGCCGCGUGAGUGAUGAAGGUCUUCGGAUCGUAAAACUCUGUUAUUAGGGAAGAACAAAUGUGUAAGUAACUAUGCACGUCUUGACGGUACCUAAUCAGAAAGCCACGGCUAACUACGUG
This 497-nucleotide ribosomal RNA is filed under the name uncultured bacterium. RNAcentral's name for it is "partial 16S ribosomal RNA". It matches the Rfam family "Bacterial small subunit ribosomal RNA", at positions 28 to 507 of the family's 1533-position model. The record is from RNAcentral.